AACAUCGCGCACCUGCGGGAACCUGCGGAGGGAUCAUUACCGAGUGCGGGCCCUCUGGGGUCCAACCUCCCACCCGUGUUUAUCGUACCUUGUUGCUUCGGCGGGCCCGCCGUCCUGGCCGCCGGGGGGCGUCAUGCCCCCGGGCCCGCGCCCGCCGAAGACCACACCGAACGCUGCCUGAAGGUUGCCGUCUGAGCGAGUACACAAAUCAGUCAAAACUUUUAACAACGGAUCUCAGAU
This 240-nucleotide unclassified non-coding RNA is filed under the name soil metagenome. RNAcentral's name for it is "partial contains 5.8S ribosomal RNA, internal transcribed spacer 2, and large subunit ribosomal RNA". The record is from RNAcentral.